CUACGGGGGGCAGCAGUGAGGAAUAUUGCACAAUGGGGGGAACCCUGAUGCAGCAACGCCGCGUGGAGGAUGACGCAUUUCGGUGUGUAAACUCCUUUUAUAUGUCAAGAAAAUGACGGUAGCAUAUGAAUAAGCACCGGCUAACUCCGUGCCAGCAGCCGCGGUAAUACGGAGGGUGCAAGCGUUACUCGGAAUCACUGGGCGUAAAGGACGCGUAGGCGGGUUGGAAAGUCAGGUGUGAAAUCCUACAGCUUAACUGUAGAACUGCACUUGAAACUUCUAAUCUAGAGUAUGGGAGGGGGAGAUGGAAUUAGUGGUGUAGGGGUAAAAUCCGUAGAUAUCACUGGGAAUACCUAAAGCGAAGGCGAUCUCCUGGAACAUUACUGACGCUAAGGCGUGAAAGCGUGGGGAGCAAACGGGAUUAGAUACCCUAGUAGUC
Molecule: ribosomal RNA, 439 nt
Filed under: uncultured bacterium
Lineage: Bacteria
Description: partial 16S ribosomal RNA
Rfam family: Bacterial small subunit ribosomal RNA
Source: RNAcentral